RNAcentral lists this long non-coding RNA (553 nucleotides) under Ananas comosus (pineapple). RNAcentral describes it as "long non-coding RNA (ACOM_LNC002025)". Lineage: Eukaryota; Viridiplantae; Streptophyta; Magnoliopsida; Poales; Bromeliaceae. The record is from RNAcentral.
CCCUAGUUGUCCAUCGAGUAUUCUAUGGUUUUCACGUUCUUAUUUCCAAUGUCAUGUUCUCUACGCAAUUUGGAGUUAUCAACCAAGUUCACAUGCAUAUAUAAUCUCACAAUGCUAAUCAUGCAUUAUAAUCUCACAAAUCAUUUAUAUGCAUCUACUUAGCAUUUUUACUUAUGUCAUCAACAUGCAUUUCAUUCUAUGCAUUAUGCUUACAUGCUUUCUUCGAGUUUACAUGCAUAUAUAACCUUUUAUAUGCACCUACUUUAGCAUUUACAUAUCAUUAUUAUCAUGCUUUACAUUAUUAUCAUGCAUUACUAGUAUUAUGUAAAUUGCUCACUAUGCAUUUCUACUUAGCAUUUACAUUAACAUGCAUAAUUAUCAUGCAUUACUAGUAUUAUGUAAAUUGCUCACUAUGCAUUUCUACUUAGCAUUUACAUUAACAUGCAUAAUUAUCAUGCAUUACACCAUUAUCACACAUUAUUUCACACUUAUAUGCAUCAACACAAAUUCUUAACUUGCUUAGAUAUAAAGGCGACCUAGUCGCUUCAGUAAG